Molecule: ribosomal RNA, 494 nt
Filed under: uncultured bacterium
Lineage: Bacteria
Description: partial 16S ribosomal RNA
Rfam family: Bacterial small subunit ribosomal RNA
Source: RNAcentral
GACGAACGCUGGCGGCGUGCUUAACACAUGCAAGUCGAACGGUGAAGCGCCUUCCUUUUUGGUGGGUGUGGAUGAGUGGCGAACGGGUGAGUAACACGUGAGUAACCUGCCCCCUUCUUCUGGAUAACCGCAUGAAAGUGUGGCUAAUACGGGAUAUUCUGGGUCUGUCGCAUGAUGGGUCUGGGAAAGAUAUUGUUUCGGUGGGGGAUGGGCUCGCGGCCUAUCAGCUUGUUGGUGGGGUGAUGGCCUACCAAGGCGGUGACGGGUAGCCGGCCUGAGAGGGUGGACGGUCACACUGGGACUGAGACACGGCCCAGACUCCUACGGGAGGCCGCAGUGGGGAAUAUUGCACAAUGGGCGCAAGCCUGAUGCAGCGACGCCGCGUGAGGGAUGGAGGCCUUCGGGUUGUGAACCUCUUUCGCCAGUGAAGCAGGCCUGCCUCGUUUGUGGGUGGGUUGACGGUAGCUGGAUAAGAAGCGCCGGCUAACUACGUG